CAGCAACGUCCAUUUGUGCACGCCUCUUCAUUGGUGCGACAAGGUCUUCAUGCCCUUGAGCAUUCGUCGGGUUGUCUGUGUUGCCUACCUAAAUGACGGUAUCGUAUCGUCCAUCAAUGUCCCUUUUCAUCGUGGGUCGUUUGUGCGGCUCGCGGUGAACCUUGAAGCGGUCUCUUUGAUCCAUCUUGUCGACGCUUGUGCGUCUUCGAUGUGGCUCGUUGGGCACGGCUUGGUUUUUCGGAUACGGAAGCUUUUAUGGGCAUGCGGUCUUUUAUGAUUGCUUGUUUGCCCUUAUCAAGCGUUCUYGCUUCUUUGAAACGACCGUUGGUCACGUCUCGACAUGUUCGUGCGUGGCCGAUGACGUCGAAG
RNAcentral lists this unclassified non-coding RNA (369 nucleotides) under Urmenetea atacamensis. RNAcentral describes it as "partial miscellaneous RNA". The record is from RNAcentral. Lineage: Eukaryota; Viridiplantae; Streptophyta; Magnoliopsida; Asterales; Asteraceae.